RNAcentral lists this long non-coding RNA (791 nucleotides) under Cricetulus griseus (Chinese hamster). RNAcentral's name for it is "lncRNA (ENSCGRG00015041904.1)". Lineage: Eukaryota; Metazoa; Chordata; Mammalia; Rodentia; Cricetidae. The record is from RNAcentral.
ACUUUACUCCUGGUGCCACCAGGCUGAAUUCCACCUAAGUGGCUCCUGUCUGCAUCCCACUCCAACCUGAUCCUUGGGAGGGGCCAAUACACUGUAGCCUGUGAACUAAGAUGGCAGCUGCCCAGUGAUCAAAGACUGCCCUACUAGGGUAAACUAAGAACUCAGUGAGUGCCACUGUCAAAAGAAGCCAGAGCCACUGACAUCUGUCUGUUGAGCUGCGACCACUGUUGACUAUGCGAGCUGGAAAAACUUAGCUGGAGUGCUGAGAGCCACUGCUGCCUGGAGGAGCCAAUAACACGAUUUUUGUGUGAGCUCACACUACUGUUCCUUGGGGGAACUGAUCCACCUAUGAUCUGUAGGAGCUGAGAACCCCUGUUACCUGGUGGAGGUGAGAACACUGGCACCUGAAAGACUCAGGAAGCCACAAGUCUCAAAUAUUUUGGAUUGGUAUGGACUGUUGCUUGAUGAUAGGAAGGAACUCACUCUACAACAACUGCCCUCAGUAAUCGGCCACCUGUGUCCCCCGGUGAAUUAGCUCUGCCAGAUCUCCACUACUGAUGUCAAAGUCACAAGCUCAGGAUUAAGCUCCCUGUGAUUGUGUUUUAGGUAUGGAUUUAAAAGUGCUUCUUGUGUGCUAAAAGCAUCUGUCUAACCUAUAUGCACCCAGUCUUCUGCAUAGAGGAAAUAGUGCUAAUGCUUUUAACCAGAAUCAUUUUGGGGUCCCCUUUGACUCAAUGGCAUGAGUCUACUGCCUUUUCUACAAGCAGAUUUCGGAUUUCAGUAGAGAUUAC